RNAcentral lists this ribosomal RNA (467 nucleotides) under uncultured bacterium. RNAcentral describes it as "partial 16S ribosomal RNA". It matches the Rfam family "Bacterial small subunit ribosomal RNA", at positions 29 to 507 of the family's 1533-position model. The record is from RNAcentral.
ACGCACGCUGGCGGCGUGCUUAACACCUGCCAGUCGAACGGAAAGGCCCUGCUUUUGUGGGGUGCUCGAGUGGCGAACGGGUGAGUAACACGUGAGUAACCUGCCCUUGACUUUGGGAUAACUUCAGGAGACUGGGGCUAAUACCGGAUAGGAGCUCCUGCUGCAUGGUGGGGGUUGGAAAGUUUCGGCGGUUGGGGAUGGACUCGCGGCUUAUCAGCUUGUUGGUGGGGUAGUGGCUUACCAAGGCUUUGACGGGUAGCCGGCCUGAGAGGGUGACCGGCCACAUUGGGACUGAGAUACGGCCCAGACUCCUACGGGAGGCAGCAGUGGGGAAUAUUGCACAAUGGGCGGAAGCCUGAUGCAGCAACGCCGCGUGCGGGAUGACGGCCUUCGGGUUGUAAACCGCUUUCGCCUGUGACGAAGCGUGAGUGACGGUAAUGGGUAAAGAAGCACCGGCUAACUACGUG